UACGAAGGGGGCGAGCGUUGUUCGGAAUUACUGGGCGUAAAGCGUGCGCAGGCGGUUUUGUAAGUCUGUCGUGAAAUCCCCGGGCUCAACCUGGGAAUUGCGAUGGAGACUGCAAGGCUAGAAUCUGGCAGAGGGGGGUAGAAUUCCACGUGUAGCAGUGAAAUGCGUAGAGAUGUGGAGGAACACCGAUGGCGAAGGCAGCCCCCUGGGUCAAGAUUGACGCUCAUGCACGAAAGCGUGGGGAGCAAACAGG
Molecule: ribosomal RNA, 253 nt
Filed under: uncultured bacterium
Lineage: Bacteria
Description: partial 16S ribosomal RNA
Rfam family: Bacterial small subunit ribosomal RNA
Source: RNAcentral